Molecule: long non-coding RNA, 21918 nt
Filed under: Nicotiana benthamiana
Lineage: Eukaryota; Viridiplantae; Streptophyta; Magnoliopsida; Solanales; Solanaceae
Description: long non-coding RNA (NBEN_LNC021879)
Source: RNAcentral
ACUUGGCAUAUACAACCCAAAAAUAAAUGCGGAAGUCUACAAUUCAAUCUCAAAACUAGGAAACUCAUUGGAAGCACAUGCUAAGGAAAAUACUGUAAAUGCUCUAAUCUCCAUAAUGUCUACAUCAAAAGUAUGAUAGAAUCUAAACACUACAAGUAGAAUAAGGAAGGAAACUCUUCGGUCUGCGGACGCUGCAGAUAUACCUCGAGUCCCCGCUAGAUCUCUUUGCCUCGAUGAUAGUGCGCCUGAGAAGAAGUACCUGGAUAUGUACAUGAAACAUGCGGAUGCUGCAGAUAUACCUCAAGUCUCCACUAGAUUUCUCCGCCUCGAUGGUAGUGCGCCUGAGAUGAAGUACCUGGAUCUUCACAUGAAAAACAUGCACAUAAGAGGCAUUAGUACGCCACAAUGGUACUCAGUAAGUGCCAAACCUAACCUCGGUCGGGUAGUGACGACGAAGGUCAGGGCCCUAAUGAGAUUUAAAUAAUAUGAUAAGAAUGAUGACAACAACAUACAGUAAGAAGACAUAAUGGAAUACAACCGUGGAGUAAGUAAGACCAUACAAAUAACAAUCAACACACCGAGGAUGAAAUAACCCAGAGUAAAAAAGGUCAAAAUCAGUACCAAUUUACUAGGAUCUCCCAGGAUACCGUCCUGUAGUCCAUUUUCGUGUCAAUACCAAUAAUGAGGAUCUCUCAAGAUACCGUCCUGUAGUCCAUUCCCAUAAAUUGUAGGAUGCAUUUCAAUACCAAUAAUGAGGAUCUCCCAGGAUACCGUCAUGUAGUCCAUAUCAAUACCAAUAACGAGGAUCUCCCAAGAUACCAUCAUGUAGUCCAUUUCCAUAUCAAUACCAAUAACGAGGGUCUCCCAGGAUACCAUCCUGUAGUCUAUUUCCAUAUCACUACCAAUAACGAGGAUCUUCCAGGAUAUCGUCCUGUUGUCCAUUUCCAUGAUAUAAAUGUGCAGGGGGAACCUGGAAUCUAACCCGUAGUCCCAAAGUAAAUAUGUAGGGGGAUCUCUCAGGAAUGAAACCCGUAGUUCCAAAGUAAAUAUGCAGGGGGGUCUCCCGGGAAUCAAACACUUAGUCCCAAAGUAAUUAUGCAGGGGGAUCUACCGGGAAUCAAACCCGUAGUCCCAAAGUAAAUAUGCAGAGGGAUCUCCUAGAAAUCAAAUCCGUAGUCCCAAAGUAAAUAUGCAGGGAAUCAAACCCGUAGUCCCAAAGUAAAUAUGUAGGAGAUCUCCCGGGAAAAAAACCUGUAGUCCCAAAAUAAAUAUGCAGGGGGAAUCUCCCAGGUACCUCGCGCUCGCCACCUCGUGUACAAGGCACUCAAUUACCAAAUAACAUAUCCUAAGAGGAAGGUCCCCCACACAAGGUUAGAAAAUCCACUUACCUCAAUCGGCCCCAAAAUCAACUUUAAAUCACUCUUUUGCCACGAGUAUCCGACUCCAACUCGCCCAAAUCUAUUCAUUUCAAUUACAUCUCAUAAAUAACAUCUCAAGAAACUAAUUCUACUAUUUAAUUUAAAUCUAUGAUGUAAAUUUAGGUAAAAUAACCAAAAUGCCCUCAGGCCAACGUGGUCAAAACCUAAGGUUCGAACAAAAAUCCGGUUAUCCAUUCCCCCACAAACCCAAAUAUAUGAUUUGUUUUAAAAUUAGACCUCAAAUUGUUUUAAAAUCGAACCUCAAAUUGAGGUCGAAAUACCCAAUUAGAUGAAAAUUUAGAUAAAUUGACCAAAAUGCCCCUCGGACCAACGUGGUCAACACAUGAGGUUCGAACUAAAAUCCGAUUAUCCAUUCCCCAUGAAUCCAAUUAUGUGAUUAGUUUUGAAAUAGGAUCUUGAAUUGAGGUCCAAUCCCCAAUUUUAUCAAAACACUAGGUCCUACCCAAUAUACCCGAAUUUACCCAUUAAAAACUUCGAUUUGAUGUUGAAAUUAUGUUAAAUGGUGUUAAUGAGUGAAGAAAAUGAGUUAGAAACCACUUACCAAUCGUUUUGAAGAAAAAGUAUUGCUUAGAAAAUCGUCUUCUUAGGUUUUGAGUUUUUUAAAAGUGAGAAAUAACUGAAAAAUUCCGUAUAUUUAUAAUCUCUGGACCUCCUCGCGCGAUCGAUGACCGCAGCUGCGCUGGUGGAGCUAAAAUAUGUUAGUCCUCUGAAGUUGGCAGCAUGGACCGUGCGAGGGGGAUCGUGGCCGCGCGGCUCACGCCGCGGAUCGCGCCAGAGCGAACGCAGUCGUGCUAGAGGAACUGAAGGCUGUGGGUUCUCUGAAGCUGGCAGCGUGGACCACACAAGGAAGACCGAGGCCGGGUGGAUCAUGCCACAAACUGCUUGAUCACCACUACGGCCGCGCGAUGGAACCUACAGCUUGCAUUUGACCUGCAACAUCUGGUGUUUUAAGUCUAAGACCUCCCAGAACCUACUUGAAACUCACCAGAGCCCUCGGGGAUCCAAACAAAACAUACACAUCACUUCAAAAACAUCUUACGGACUUGUCCGUAGGAUCAAAUCACCAAAAUAACAUCAUAUACAUCGGAUCGAGCCUCAAAACUCAUGAUUUCUUCCAAAUUUCUCAUAUGACAUAAAAUGGCCAUUUUGGGUCUGAAACACAUCAAAAGACGUCAGUUUUCAACCAAACAUUACAGAAAGAGCUCCAAGCAUAUAUAAGACUUGUACCGGGUACCGUAACCAAAAUACGGGCUCGAUACCCAGUAUUCUAAUCAAAUUUCAUUUCCAUUUUCUUUAAUUAUUUCCAUAAAAUAAUUUGACAUAAAAAUCCAUUCCUCGAACUUGGGACCUCGGAAUCCGAUUCCAGGUGUAUAUUUUCCUACGAUUCCCUACGGGACCGUCAAAUCACGGGUCCGGAUCCGCCUACCCAAAAAUAUUGACCAGAGUCAACUGUUAACAUAUUAAUAUCAAAAUUCUGCAUUUUCACACAAAAUUCAUAUUUAAGCUUUUUCGGCUAUGCGCCGGGACUGCGCAAGCAAAUCGAGGAAACCCGAGAGGAGGUUUUAAGGCCUCGGAAGUACCGAACGGAAAAAAAUAAUAAUUGAUGACCCCAUUGGGUCGUCACAAUAGCCUUAAAUUGUAUUAUGCUUUCUUGUUUACACUACUUGGAAUUUAUAUAACGAGGAUACCAAAAGAUCCUCGGGAUACUAAGAGAUCCCUAGUAUAUAAUGAGGAUACUAAGAGAUUCUUGGGAUAGCAAGAGAUCCCUAUCUCAUAUUGAGGAUACAAAGAGAUCCCUGAUAUAGAUUGAGGAUACCCAAAGAUCCUCGGGAUAUUGAGAGAUCCCCGAUUAUUAUCCUUGUGAUCAUUUUAGCCUCUGUUUCAGUUAUUGUAUUCCUUACUUUCUCGUAUUACCUAUUGUUAGCUUGCAACUAAAUUGCUUAUCUUAUCCUCUUAUACCUUUUAUCUUAUUUUAUCUUAGUAGGCCCCUGACCUUCCUCAUCACCACUCAACGGAGGUUAGACUUGGCACUUACUGAGUACCUUUGUGGUGUACUCAUGCCCUUUUUGCACAUAACCACGUCUCUGGACAUAAUAGUUACUCUUAGGCGACUACUCUAGUAACUUAGAGGUAUAUCUUCCACAUCGGCAGACCGAGAAGUCUCCUUUUAUUCCCUUAUUAGUAUUUAGCCCUUUUGUAUUUUCUGUUUUGUUAGAAAUUUUGGGGUUAGAGCUAUGUAGUAUCUCUUAGCUUCUGAUUCAUGGGUUUUCGGGUUUUGGGAAUUGUUGUUAGUUUGAGAAGUUUCAUUGUUUAUGCUGAGUGGCAUUUUAAAUAUGCUUCAUUAUGUUAUCCGGUUUUAAAUUAUUUCUUCCACGAGUUUUGUUUAUUUUCAUAUUUUUAGGCUUACCUAGUCGUAUUUUAGAAAAUUCCACUUCAUUUCAUUCCUUAUCGUGUGAUAUUUAUUCAAUUUGAAGCCUAUAUCACAUGUUAUUUUUGCAUCCACUUGUGUAUUGAAAUUGCUCACUCGGCAUCAAUUAUACGCCAACGGCUCGUGAUGCUAUAAAAGGAUUAUAAGGGAGCCAAGAAUUUCUCAACCACUAUUAUCGCGUGUCAUCCAUAUCGAUAAUGCAGGUGUUUUGAUAGAUCAUUCAGUUGUGCACAUGAGGGUGCAAUAGGUUAUGGCAUAUGAUUGAUAAGUACUGUCUUAAGAAGGUUCACUUAAUUGCCUAAUCGUUGCGAUAGUAGUAGAGUCAUGAGGUUGGUGUAUAUCUGAAGAUACUCGGUGGUAGUAGAUACGAUGUUGUUCAUAUGAUAUUUUGAUUUUGGUGAAGGGUACAACUAGCAACCGAGAUACUGGAAGAAGUGAGUUCAACUGUCAAAAGGAUGACAUGCGCCAAACGAAUGGCUUGAGGUGUCUUAUGAUAGUGUUGUACGAUCGAUAAAGGCUAGUAUAUUGGAUUAUCAAAAUGUAUCCUAUGGCUUUGCACCAAGUGAAAGGAGUGCACUAUCAACGAUCAAAUAGUCAGGUCAUGUGUCAUAUCAGCUUUGGCCUGAGAUAUAUUUCUGUGGUGUUCAAAAGUCCUCUGAAACUUGUAUAUAAGUAAAAGAUGAAAUUUGAAUAGGAUGAUGCAGGGACAUGGAAAUAAUUUUGGAAUACUCGUAGUGCUUAAUCAACGCACUCACUUGGAACAAUCAUCAUUUAAUGCACAACUGGUAUAUGAUUCUUACAAUGGUUAUUCUAUUUAUCUGGUACAGACUUAGUAUGAGCAGCCAAACGUAGAUGGGUGUUAUGAAUGUUGUGAUACUAAGAACAUCGUGAGAGAUUGUCCCAUACUUGGUAGGAAUCUAUUUCAUCAAAACACUUAGUCCACACACUCCAUUACUAAUCUACAUAUACUAUAAGUUAAAGAUGGAGAACAAGUGUGUAGAUGGCGCCUAAGAGGUGGGGGCCCGACCCAAUUAUAUAAUUGCCAUGGUAUGGAUAGUGUCGCUACACCAGAUGGUGUCAUUACAUGUAUGAUCUCAAUGUGAUUAUAAAGUAAUAAUUUCAUUAAAUUGAUUCGGUUCUAAGUAUCUAAGAAAGUCCUAUAAAUAUGCUACACUCACGAGUGAGCUCCGUAAUCCUGAAAUUUACUUAUAUGAAUACUCACGUUAGGUUAUUAUAUGGAGAUAGCUAUUUCUAUCUUUAUGUGUUGGUCACUAAGAAUAGCUAUGAGGCUAAAAGUGACUUUCUAUUACUUACUACAAUGAGUUUUGAUGUGAUUUCAGGAUAAUUAAAUACAAUUGUGAAUUAUAUGCCCUACCAGUAUGAGAGUUCAUUAUAUGUUGUGAUUUUGUUUGACGAAAAUUAUUUUAAAAGAAGAAAGAAAAGAAAUAAAAAAUUUCAGUUGGCACAAUGUGCAAAUACUUGUGAUUUAGAGUUGAGGACGAGAUCCUCACAUUUUUAUAUAAUGUGAAAUAUUUUAAACCAGGAUACAAGUUACGGGGGAUCUUAUAUAAGGACGAGGUCCUGGUGGUGAAAAGUUUAUGCGUUUCAAAUUCUUCUUUUAUGAAAUAAAAUAAAAUUGUUAUAUUUUAAUAGGGAGUCAUGAGUGUUAGGCUUAUUUGUCGAUUCUUGCAUAUUUUGUGUUCAUAUUCGACCAUUUUUAUGUUGUAGUCGUUGAGUUUUAGCCUACGAGAUCGGUGCCCAGGUGGCGUUAAAUGUGACUCGUUAAUUCGGCUAAGUAAUUAUAAGGUCUCUAUGCCUCGUUGUGAUAAAGUGGAGGUUUGAAAUGAGAGAUUGGUAACAUAAGGUUAAUUGGCAAUGCUGUGAUUUAUGAGUAACAAUUAUGGCCAGAGACGUGGUGGUUAUGUGCAUACAUAUAUGUCACACCUCCUUUUGGCUACUACAACCCGGCGAAGGGCGUAGAUAAAGGAGUUUUUCCAAUUAAAGAACAAUCCAAAAGAGAUCUAAUUAUUUAAGAGAUUUUCAGAGUCUCCACUUGGGAGAUUUAUGGUGUCCCAAGUCACCAUUUGGAAUCUCGAAUCGAGGAAAGAAUGGCUCUGAUUAAUAGUCUGCGAACCAGAAAUCCGGGUAAGAAAUUCUGUUAACCCUAGAGUAAGUGUUAGGCAUUCUCGGGUCUCGUGGUCCAGCAUAGUCUCUCAACUGUUAUAUUUGACUUUUGUUAUUUGAUUUUAUAAAAUUAUGAACCUAUGUGCAUUUUGAACCUUUUAACCAUUUUUGUUAUUAUUUUUAAAGAGAAUCCCAAUGUCGUUUAAAAACGUCUUGUACCACGUCACAUAAAUGCACCUGCGGUCUUUGACAUAUUUUAACAUUAUUGAGAUUUAGAUUUGGGUCACAUAAAUGCGCACCCGAGUUUAAGUAAAUUAUAUUAAAAUAACACACCUAAAGCAACUACGCACUUUUAACUUUGCAAGGGCCAUGGAAAGUUCAACUAAUAGCACACCUCGAUUCUAAUUUCAAGGAAUCGUAGUUAUGUCACACGGACGUGUCCACAAUUACGACUUGUAUUUUGAAUGUGCAUAAAGGCUUUCCUACCAGGGUAGAUGACCCAAUCAUGCUCCAAACGGUCAAGUUAAUGAAUCAGUUUUCACCUUUAAUUCACAUACGCCACGACCAUUUAUCAUUGUUUUUCCUGCACUAAUUUCACUUUACAAUCAAGAAUUCAUAAAAUAGAAAUCAAAAUUCUUAGAGACUUUGAACUGACUUCAAACAAAAAUAACAGACAAAUCAAACAAGCAAUAUUAAUGAGCAAGACAAUUAAAGCCUAUCAAUCAAAGGCAAGCAUGAAACUCAUGUAAAGAUUUUCAAACAACAUUAUUACAGCACCAACAUGGAAAAUUAACCAAAAAUAAUAACCAACUUACCAAGAAUACAAAGUCAUUCAAGACAAAAACACUAGGUAGUACCACUUGAACUAAUUAAAGGAUAAGGAUAGAAAUAGACCUUUGUAUUUAAUCUGAGAUGUCAAAACCACGGACAAGAUCCUUAUGGGAAUGUCUCGCUGGAAACCUCAACAAAACAACCUCCACACAAGUCAAACUCAACGGCUCCAAACACGCACGCUAAACCAACCCGAAGCCCUCCUCUAUAUUUCAGUAAAUUCGAACUCACCCGAGUGCAAAUCAAACUCCACAAGAGGAAAUCAAAAUGCAUCUUUUCAGGUUUAAGAAGAAACAAAUGGAUCCCCUUUUUUGUGUUUCUUUUUUAUGAAUAAAAAGAAAGACAGAAUCGGAAAAUGAAAGGGUGGAAUGGAGCCUAAGACCCUCGUCUCCUCUCACUAUGUUGUUGUUCGUUUUGCUACUAUUUUUCGCUCAUUUUGAAGCAUGCUUGAGAAUGAUUUUGAGCUUGAAUUUUGCUCCUAUUUCUGGUCAAACUUCGGACUAUUUCAGGAUUCAAUCAGGUUUCAUGGCCUUUGUAGCAGUGAUUGAUGAAGAAUAAGAAACUGUGGCGACUGGUGGCCGUCGCUGGUGGAGUCAGCGAUUCUGUGCGUGUACUGGUCGUCAGAUGCCUUCGAAAGGGUGUUGGAGUUGGAAUGGCCUUGUGAAAUCAAAAAGAGAAAGUGCUGAUGGGAGGGUGGUUGGUCGCUAGGUCAUGUAAAAGUUUGGAGAUCAGGUUCAGGGGUCGUUUGGUCGAAUAAGAACAACAAUCGUCGGGGGAGGGGUAUUGUAAAAGUUAUGCAGCCCUUCAGGCGUCACUAUCCUUCUGUUUAGGGGUCUAUAUGUGUGUCUUGUGUAUAUAAUGCGUAUUAGGUUUUUAGGUGGUGAAAUGGGUUUGGGUGUUGGGCUGGAUCGGGUCGACCCGGUUUGGGGUUGGGUAGGGGCUAAUUUGGGGUGAGUUUUAAAAGGAAAAUUGCAUUGGGCUUAAAAAUAGAAGUAGAUAUCACCCCAACAAUAUGAUUCACAUCUUUGUUUUCUUAUUUUCUAUAUUAUUUUAAAUUAAAACUAAACAUAACACGUAAAUUAAUUCCUAGUCAAAUUAUUUUCAAAUUAAAUAAUUACUAAAACUAAUACUUACUGCAACUAAUUAAAACCAAAUUAAACGGAAAACUAACGAAAUUCAAAGACUAAAAUUAAAAGUGCAAAAUUAACUAUUUUUUUAUUUUCUUUUGACACAAUUAACUUAAUAUAAUAAUUCCUAAAUGCAAAUUGAACCUAAGGUGGCAUAAAAUUAAAAUGUGUCACUUUUAUAUUUUUUCUAUGAUUUGAAAAUAUUUAAAAUGCAUGAAAUGCAACUAAAAUAAAGAAAAAUUCCUAAAAUUAAUAAAAAAGAUGCUUUGGUCUAUUUUUAGGAGUUAUUCUCACGUAGGGCAAAAAUCACGUGCUCACAUAGAGUACACCUAUAAACAGGCCUAUUUGGGAUUUGUGGUCUCGGCAGAAAAUUAAUUUGAUGCUCAAUUCCAUGUAAAUGUGGUAAUCCAUUAGGAAUAUCUUCAGGAAAGACAUCUUUAAAAUCCUAAAAAAGAGAAGAAAUACUACUUGGCAAAGAAGAAUUAUUAAAAAAAAAUAUUUUGGUAUAUUUUUUGGAGUUAUUCUGAGGUAGGGCAAAAAUCACGUGCUCACAGCUGACCCUCUUUGCUCGGAUACCCGAAAAGUUUUCGUGCAAAGAUAAGUGAGCAAAUAUGAGCAAUUUUUGCCCGUUUGAAUACUCCAUGAGAAGCAUUUUGAGAAGAUUUGACUGCACCAUGCUUAUGAGGUUGACUACAUAUCCUUGGCUGUAAAGGAAUCAGGUCAAUGUAGUUCAGGAUUGAGUGAGAUGAAGGAGUAUGCUGAGGUGAAGAUCCGGUCGAGGUGCCGGUCCGCCAAGGUUCUGGUCAUGUUAUUACAUCAAAAUCAAAUGAAUGAAAAAGACUAGCUAAACCUAUCAACUACGAGUUACAAGAUUCCUAUCUAUUAGUCUUCUGAAGCUUGAUCUUGAGUCUUGAGUGGUUCUUCAUUCUGACUUUAGAUUUCAACCUUGAUGCUUGUUAUGUGCAGGUACUAGCUCGUUCUUCUUCAUCUUUUCUUAAUUAAGACUUGACAUGUAGCGGUUGCGACCUCAACCACGCCUUCUGCAAUUUACAUCUUUCAUAUGCUUUUAUUUGGAUUGACUUACUGCUUGCCUUCCUUUUUCUUCUUUUUUUACUUUAUUGUGACUUUUGUUGAUUACCUCGGACUGUUGACUUGCAUUCUUGCCAUGAGAUUCUUUUGUUGUUGACUUGAAUUGUAAUCUGAGAUAUUUUCCCUUUCUCCAGGUGGAUGCCUGAUUGCUGAACUCGAAUUGUGUUCCCUUGUUCUCCAGGUGGGUGCCUGAUUAUCAAAACUUAACACUUGAAAAAUAUUCCUUUGUUCUACAGGUGGGCGCCUGAUUACAAAAUCUUGAAUUUUCAAAAAAUAUUCCCUUAUUCUAUAGGUGGGCGCCUAAUUACAAAAUCUUGAAUUUUCAAAAAAUAUUCCCUUAUUCUACAUGUGGGCGUCUGAUUACAAAACUUGGAUUUUGAAAAAUAUUCCCUUAUUCUACAAGUGGGCGCCUGAUUACUAAAACUUGAAAAUUUGAAAAAUAUUCCCUUGUUCUUUACGUGGGCACCUGAUUACCAAAACUUUAAAAUUUUGAAAAAACAUUCCCUUGUUCUACAGGUGGACGCCUGAUUACCAAAACUUGAAAUUUGAAAAAUAUUCCCUUGUUCUAGAGGUGGGCGCCUGAUUACCAAAAUUCAGCCUGAUUACCAAAACUUGAUUUUUGAAAAAUAUUCCCUUGUUCUACCGGUGGGCGCCUGAUUACCAAAACUUGAAAUUUUGAAAAAUAUUCUCUUGUUCUAUAGGUAGGCGCCUGAUUGUCAAAACUUGAAUUUUGAAAAAUAUUCCCUUGUUUUACAGGUGGGCGCCUGAUUGCCAAAACUUGAAAUUUAAAAAAUAUUCCCUUGUUCUACAGGUGGGCGUCUGACUACCAAGACUUGAAUUUUGAAAAAUAUUCCCUUGUUCUACAUGUGGGCUCAUGAUUGCCAAAACUUGAAAUUUUGAAAAAUAUUCCCUUGUUCUCCAGGUGGGAGCCGACUGCCAAGACUUGAAUUUUGAAUAAUAUUCCCUUGUUCUACAGAUGGGCGCCUGAUUGCCAAAACUUGAAAUUUUGAAAAAUAUUCUCUUGUUCUCCAGGUGGGCGCCUGACUACCAAAACAUGAAAAUUUGAAAAAUAUUCCCUUGUUCUACAGGUCGGCGCCUGAUUACCAAAACUUGCAAUUUUUUUAAGUAUUCCCCUGUUCUGUAGGUGGGUGCCUGAUUGCUGAAACUUGAAAUUCUUUGAAAAAUAUUCCCUUGUUCUACAGGUGGACGCCUGAUUGCCAAAACUUGAAAAUUUGAAAAAUACUCCCUUAUUUUCCAGGUGGGCGCCUGAUUGCCAAAACUUGAAAUUUUGAAAAAUAUUCCCCUGUUUUCCAGGUGGGUGCCUGAUUACCAAGACUUGAAUUUUGAAAAUAUUCCCUUGUUCUACAUGUGGGCGCUUGAUUGCCAAAACUUGAAAUUUUAAAAAAUAUUCCCUUGUUCUCCAGGUGGCCGCCUGAUUACCAAAACAUGAAAUUUGAAAAAUAAUCCCUUGUUCUACAGGUGGGCUCCUGAUUACUAAAGCUUGAAUUUUGAAAAAUAUUCCCUGAGACUGUUGCGUGUGUACCUGACCACUACAAAACAAACGAAACACAAGAAAUUCUUCCUGCCCCAGUUUGGUGCUGGGCGAUCUGUGAGUGUAAAUCAAAUCCCUUACCAAAUAUCUCUAAAUCUAAGCUAAGUCCCAUUAUCCAGGAGAGUCCUGACAAUUCUUAACUGAUGACAACUUUAAGACUAUGUUAUGUCUUUCAAAAGGUAUUAAUUUCCACUUUGUCUUGUUAUGAAUUAUAUUUGCGGGGGUUCUUAGAGCUACGUCCCAUUAUUCAGGGGGAUCCUGACAACUUCUACGAUUAAAUCCCAUUAUCCAGGCGAAUCCUGAUAACUCUUGUUGGGGGAAGUAUUUGGGUUUGACUAGGCCCCCCGACUGUUUGUGUUCUAGUCUAAGUCCCAUUUUCCAGGAUGGUCCUGAUAACUCUUAACUAAGUCCUACUUCAACAUGCAAGUCAUUUUAUUCCCUUUACUAUCCAUGAUUACCUCUAACCUUUAAGUGAGUCCCAUUUUCCAGGAGGGUCCUGAAGGUUUCAAUUUAAAUGCCAAUUCUAACUUCUGGUUGUGUCUGCUAGUGAUUAUUGUCCAUCAGGGUUUGUGUGACUCUUACUGGGGGAGAUGUUGGUGCCUGCCCAUGUUAACCGUGCCUGCCUAUGUUUUAAACUGAGUCCCAUUUCAACUUCCAUGCCUCAUUUAACCCUCAGUUGUUCCUGUUGGGGUUUGCUAGUUAAAGUUUGUCCCGAUAUACCCUGGCUGGGGAGAAUAUUUAUGACGGAUUACAUUCCUUUUGAGCUUUAACUGGGUCCCACUUUUAGAUAGCCCUGAGGUUUUGAUCAUACCUACCAUGUGCCUGCCUUCCCCUGUGGAUGGCCCCCCUAAAGCUCUUCGGGAAUUUUUCUACCCUUGUGUCAAUCAAAGAAAACUUGUUAGUUUGAAAAUUGGUGGUUAGCUUGCGGCAUUCUUGCUGGAAGCGGCCUCCUCACUGUCGUGUUCCGUUGUGUUCAAAUUUCCAUGUUAAUUAUGAGUUGUCUGAGUUGGUUGGCUGACCCCUCGAACCUUUACGGCUUUACUUUGAUCCCCGUAAUUGUGUUACAUUUCUAGCCCUUUUGCCAGAAUCCUUGCACCUUUCUCGAGAUUGCCAAGUCAAUGUAUUAUUCUUGGCUGACCCUCUCACCCCUGUACCUUCACUGUGCUCCUCAUCUUUGUGUUGCUCUUUCCACCCUUUGCUAAGAUUCUCACAUCGUUUCCUGAGGUUACCCAGCCAGUUUAUGAUGCUUGGCUGACCCUUGCGACCUUUCCUAUUCUCGUGUUGCGUUUCUGACUCUUUCGUUGGACCUUUGCAUCCUUUCUGAGAUUGACCAGUCAGUUUACGAUGCUUGGCUGACCCUUGCGACCUUCCCCAUUCUCGUGUUGCAUUUUUUUUCACUUGCCAUGGCAGCUUUGAUUUCACCUUGAAAGACAUGGCUUGUUUAUUGGCUGAUCAACUUCUCUGUCACCCUUAUCACAGAAAAUACCUCCUCUCCAUGCAAACCCAAUAUCCUCUAUUUGUUGCAUUGCUGAUAAACUAACAUCUUCCAACCUUUGUGUCUUACGUGAAUCCUAAAGCACGUCCAUUGCCCCCACUCCGUGUGUAUGCUAUUUUUUAUUGACUUGAAAGCCAUCGCCCCCACUUCUUAUGGUUGUUGUUUUUAUUGACUUAAAUCACCGGCCUUGACCUUGAGGUGUCUUGAUCCUUCACUAGUCAUGAUGAUUGAUUUUCAUUUAAAAACCUGUUUGCCCCUUGAAUAACCGCUUCCUUUGUAAACCUUAACUCAGAAAAUACCUCUUCUCGUUCGAGCCCAAUACCUUUCAUCUGUUGCGUUGUUCCUGAACCGACAUCUUCCAACCCUUGUGCUUCACCUGAUCCCCAAAGCAUAUUUACCAACCACAUUGUAUAUGAUGUUCUUUCGUGACCCUAAUCACUAGCUCUGACCUUGAGGUCUACUGCUCCAUCGCUAGCCAUGAUAACUUCGAUUUCUUCUUGGGACACUUUUGCUCCGUUCACCCUAGCCCUCAUUUUUUUGCAUUGUCCAUGAUUUGAUAUGUACCGAACCUUUGUAUUUCAAACAAAUCCUCCAUUCACCCUAGCCUUCAUUCUAUUGCAUUGUCCACGAUUUGAUAUGUACCGAGCCUUUGUAUUUCAAACGAAUCCAAAAGCAUGUUGAUUGUUACUAGCUCAUUGUGCCUGUUGUUCUUUCCUGACUUAUGCUGCUUUGAUGUGACAAACAUGUCACAUUUUGUGCAAUUGGAAAACUGAUGGCAUAUUUUGAAGUCAUUUCUCACUUGUUUUGACCCGACAGAUUCAAGAGGAGGGAAUAAACAAGACAAAAGGAACAGAGCAGAGGACAAGGAAAGGAGAUGAUUCCUAACAAAAAAAACCUAAAAAGUAAAAACCUAUAAAAUGCGGGUACCAACUCUAAUGACCUUGAUAUACACCUGCCGCCUAUUCUGUUAAGAAAAUAUGAUGUUCAACUCUUGUUAUACCCCCCAGACCAUGAAUAUGGGCUUCAAUGCUCUGAUUAUCCAGUCUGAUGCUCAAUCCUUAUUUGACUUGUAGCGCCCAAAGGUUUUUCACCAUCAAGCCUCUCUUACUUUGUUCCUUCUCUCAACUUACAGUCCCCUCAAGGUUCCCAUGAGGAUUUUCACCAAUAAGACUCUCUCAUUUUCUAUUUAUCUCAACUCCCGUUGCCUUACGGUGCCCGUGAGGGUUUUCACUAAUAAGACUCUCUUAUUUUGAUUAUCUUUCCUGCUUGGACCGUAGUGUUUCCCCUGACAUGAAUCACCUCUACUUGCUCAACUUGGCAUCUCUUGAAGAGUGAUCAGAAGGUCUUUCUUUGGACCGUAACGUGAGAUUUCUGAUAGGGUUAGAAAGAAAGGGUAUCAAAGGCUCAAAACAAUUUAAAUGAGUUCAAAAUUAUAACUUUCGGAAUCAAAUUAUUACAACAACCACAACUUCUGUCCCAGUUUCUUGUUUGGGAACUUUUGGAUUUUUAUUUUGAUAAGACCGAACCGUGAGGCUACCUACGUAUCCUUUUAAAAGGAAUCAGGUCAAACAUAGUUCAUACCAAUUCCUUGUUUUUGUUGUUAUAUUUUUUCUUCUCCAUGUUUUUCUGUUUUUCUUCUCUCUUUUUUUCUUUGUUUUGUUUUCUUUUUCUUUCUUUCUUUUUCCUUUUCUCGUUUCUUGUUUUUCAUUUUUUCUCUUUUUCAUUUUUUUCUUUUUUUUCAUUCUUUUCAUUCUUUCAUUUCCCUUCCUUUUACUUCCUUCUCACACUUGUGUUUCUGACUUUUGUUAUUGAUUUCGAAAGAGGGGUAUGAAAGAAAAUAAUUAAAGCUCAAAAGGGUUAGCAAAGGAUAAAGUAUUUAGGUAUCAGAAAAAAAUGCCUUCGUCAUUUCAAUCUUUCAAAUAUGCCAGGACAAGCAAGUACAAUCAGACAAAGGAACCAUACAUAGUAUCUCUUGACUACAUCAAAAUUGAUAGCCAUUUCUACACAUUUCCCUUCCCCAUCUAUCAAAUAUAGUGCACCAUUGGACAACACUCUAGCUACAACAAAUGGUCCCUGCCAGUUUGGUAAGCCUGCUUUUAGGAUUUCUUCAUGUUCUAUCUGCCCGUGGUUCGGGCUUCAAAAGAUCUCAAAAGGUCCAAAUCUAUUCUGAUUUCCCGCAAGUGUCUCUAUUGCCUUAUGAGUAAUCUUUUAAGACCAGGACUGGGGUUAUGCAUGAAUGUCAUGUCAUUAAAGCCAACAGGGAAACGAAUUGUAAAAAGAAACGAAAACUAAACAAAAUGACUAGAAAUAACGGAAAGUAGAAAAUUGCAUUAGAUAGAUGAUGAAAGAGCUGACAACAAAACAAGUAAAAAGACUGGGGUUAAAACCCUGGAAUGAAUCUAGACGAAACUAUACAAAACUAGGAAAAAUAAAAGGAUAAGAGGGCUUGAACCACAAGACAAUAUCCGGAUUACAACCCUAAAAAUAACAAGGACAAAAGAAAUGACAACAAAAUAAACCACCAAACUCCCCUCUGGCUGACCAAGAAAUGGAGCGUCUUCCCAAUUACCCAUCACGACAUAUUAGCCGCUGGGUUCCACAUAAAUAACACUAGGCACUUCACAAGCCUUCGUCACAUUGUUCUUAACAGAUUGCUUUUGGGUUCCUUUCGCCGGCUCUUUCUGAAGAUUAACCUCUAAUAGCGCUGAAAGCUUAGUAGCAUUCGUGCCCCCCAGGCUCCCAGAAGAACUCUCACAUUCCAGCAUGUGCAUCUCAUUAUGCACAGGUGAUUGACUUUGGCUAGUGUCUGUUGCAUCCAGAUUUUGCACGACAAUGUCACCUGCGUCAAUAAGCUUCUGAAUUUGCUUUCUUUAGACUCCAACACUUCUAUGUGUGAUGCCCCGGGCAUAUGAGCAAUAUGCACACCUUUGAGAAACAUCAAACUUCUUUAACAGAGGGUUUGGCAUUUUUAUAUAAAUCGACUUCAACAUGUCCAAUUGCUUCAACCUUUGGAAAAAACUGGCAUAUGAUACUCCGAUAGGGGUGAAAGCCUUUUCAUUUUUCAGUAUCCUCUCAUUCUUACAUGCCUGGCUGGGCUGGAAACCUGAUCCAGGAGGUAUUCGGUAUGCUCGUGGGGGCGUGUAGGCAUUCUGUGGAGCUGAGUAUGGGGGAAAGUGAUGUACGAUUUUGGGAGUUCUAUGAAGAGAAGCACCAUUGGGGAGUAUCAUCGGGUACGCGAGGAUAUCCACGAGGACGAUGUCGAGGCUAGAAAUGUUGAUCAUCUUUUCUAUUUCUCUUUCUUUCGCCAAAGCUUACUUGGAUGUUCUGAAUAUCUUUCUAAUCACUCAUGAUUUUGCCUCACUUGAUUCCCUCUUAUAAUUGCUCCCCCAUUAUUAACACAUCAUUGAAAGGUUUUCCCAAAGUCGGGAUCAAAUAACUGAAGUAGGUGGGCUCCUGGGCUUGUAGGAAAAGCUCAACCAUUUCCUUUUCACCAAUCGGGGCACUGACUCGAGCAGCUUGUGCCCUCUAUCUGAGCCCAAAAUCCCUAAAUCUUUCCUCCAGCAUCUUUUUCAUUUUAGAUAGGGAAGCGCGAUCUGGGGUAACACUGGAUUUGCAUUGAAAGUAUCGAAUACAAUCUUGAGCCAUGUCACUCAAUGUAGGCCAUUUACCAAUAUCUUGACGAGUAUACCAGUCCAAAGCUGCCCCAGUCAGGCUCUUGCUGAAAUAUGCUAUCAACAGGUCAUCUUUCUCUCCAACGCCUCUCAUUUCACUACAAUAAACCGUCAGGUGGGCUACCAGAUAUCCGUACCCAUCGUACAAGUUAAAUUUUGGCACUUUGAACCCUGCAGGUAGGCGAACGUUAGGGGAUGUAAAUAGUUCUUCACAAACCAUAUUACCCUGGUCUCGCAUUCCUUGCUUGUUCUUCAAGGACUGUCUUAUACCUUCCAGCCACUGGGAUAUUCCAUUCCGCCCUUCUUUCCCUGUGAACUUUUCAUUCUCAACAUGAGGCUCAUCCUGUAGGCUCUGCUUGUACGAUUCAAAAACCUUGUGGGCCACCUCUGAAGGGCAGUAUUGGAUAUCAUGAGCUUCGAGUAGGUAUUAAUUAUUGGGGAGAAUGGAUGCGAUAGGAGGGAGCUUUUGGGAAAAGAUAUUUGGAGGACAAGUGACGGAGCUACUGGGGUGGUUGGGAAAAACGUAAUAAGCAGGGGCAUCUGGAGAGUAUGGAGGAUCAUUCGGAACCAUGAAUGGAGUUUGGAGAAGGGUAGCAUCUAGGAAGAUAGGUGGUGGCGGGGGUAGUUCUUUCUCAGUCAUCCGAGCCUGAUGCAUUUCUGCCAUGUGUUGUCUCAGCAUUUUUACCUCUUCAAUUAACACAUUGUCUUGGUCAACCAACUGCUUUCGGGCCCCGGUAUCAACCAAUCCAGUUUUGUUGUUGUCUGCCAUUGCCUUUGACUUUAUGACAGAGGAGAGUUAUUACUUUAAAAACCACAAACCAACCACCCUUCUGCUAUGAGUAUAACAAAAUGAAGCCAUCAUGNNNNNNNNNNNNNNNNNNNNNNNNNNNNNNNNNNNNNNNNNNNNNNNNNNNNNNNNNNNNNNNNNNNNNNNNNNNNNNNNNNNNNNNNNNNNNAGCGUUAGGGCAUUAAACAACUAAAAUAUCACAUUGCGUGCAAUGCACCUAGUCACAGUUACCGGUUCUAACAUGACUUCGAGGGUAUGAAGCUCAUAUGCACCAUCCCAAUUUGUUCAUUUUCAACCUCUCUUUCUUUGCUUUUCUGGCACUUGCUUGAUCAUUUUCCUUCCUCUUUUUUCUAUUUAUCACUCAGUCUUUUCUUUAAUGUUCAUGUUCUAUAAUUACACCCUUUUUUCUUUUCCUUUCUCUUUCUAUUUUUUUUCCGAUUUUUUAUCUUUAUCCUUUUUUAAUAAUAAAACAAAAUAAUUCGAUCGAACCCUAUGUAGGUUGCCUACGUAUCAUGACCCCGCAUGAAUAGAUAUUUGCAUAGUUCUGGAAGAUCGAAAAUGGAGCGAAUAAACUAGCUCAUUUUUUGUUUAUUUUUAUACAACUCAAACCAUGAAAACUCUAAGAAACAAAAAAAUAUUAUUUUUUUGAUAAUCAACUUGAAACCAUUUCAAUACCAGCAAAACCACAUGAUACGAAGCAACAAAGAUACAAAUCCAACCUUAUUUAACUCGUGACCCUUUAUAAGGAUAAGCUACUAGUUGACAGCCAAAAUAUUUACAAAAGAAGGUCAUAUAUGCAAAAACUGAUCAAUUCUGCAAUUCUGGACAUCAUCACAAUAACUGACAAAGUUGUAACCUAAUGGUAAUCUUCCGAGCCAUGUUCUUGAACAAUUGAAGCAAUGGUAAUUCAACCAAACUACUUUGCAGCCUUAAUACACUUCAAUCAAUUUUCAUAAACAUUUGCAAACCUCAACAAAUCACCUAAAAGUAGUGAUCCGAAAAAAAAAAUCUUUUUCUUUUCAUUCUUUACUUCCUGCUUUCUCUUCUUCUUUUUCAUCAUUUUUUAAUUUGCUUUAAGGAUAAUCCAAAGUAACAAAAACUAAAAACUAAAAACUACUAAAUUAAAAUAGCAAAAGCCAGCCAGAAAAAUAUAGUAACUAUAUAAAAAGAAUUAACUACUACCAUUACUAAGUAUUUUUUAAAGCCUACAACUAAAAAAUUCAUUAUACUAGAUAAGACUAUAAUUUGGAAACUCUACGUUCUUUGUUCAUGAAAAUAGAGUUAAUACUCUAAAAAAUGUAACUCUUUUUGUAAUUUUUUUUGAUUAAUUUUUUUUAGAUUUUGUUAAAUGAACGAAAUACAAAGCGAAAUAAAGACUAAAAUAUCGAGAUUAUACUUAAUAAAUAUAUUUAUAUGCUAAAAAGUGAGUUAAAAUCUAAAUAGUACGGUUGUAAUUUGACUGCUAAUUGAAACUCAGCAACUAUGCAGGAUCAAACUCAAAAUGUAAUUAAAACUUAGAACCAAGCAAAAUUUUGUGCUACAGACAACUCUACAGAUUCAUAUUUAUAGCCUGCUGGACCAACUAACACCAAACUAAGCUAGCAGCAACGAACAAAGUAACUUUAAGCAAUAUUUUUCAGCUUCUAAUUCCCUAUUAACUAAAUCACCAAAACAUUUAUAAUCAACUGAAUUCAACUGUGCAGAAAAAUCAGCUUGCACUCACUAGACAACUGGUGCAAAANNNNNNNNNNNNNNNNNNNNNNNNNNNNNNNNNNNNNNNNNNNNNNNNNNNNNNNNNNNNNNNNNNNNNNNNNNNNNNNNNNNNNNNNNNNNNNNNNNNNNNNNNNNNNNNNNNNNNNNNNNNNNNNNNNNNNNNNNNNNNAUAUUCAAACAAGUUCUAAUGUCCAACCCAGUUUCAGGUUUACAAAAUGUUGUAGAAAAAUACAAAUAAUUCUUUGAAAACUUGUAUUACAUCAACAAAUUUCAUUUAAAUGCAAAGUUAUAAGAUUCAAAAAAGCUGGUAGGUUCGCUAUUCAAUUGCUUCUCAAAACUUAAGCAACACCUUGAGCACUAAAUUCAGCAAUAGUAGGCACAAAAAUUUUCAGCCCAGAAUGAUGACCUCAAUUGUAGAAACAAAGCAUUAGAAUCACAAAUUUAUUGAGUCAGAAUAACCACAAAGUACAACUGAAUAGUGCGGGAUAUGCUUUUAAAAAAUAACUCGAAACUUGAAUUUCAAUAAUGUAUUGUUGGCAUAUAAACUAAAGCAACGCAGUUGAGUUAACUGAAGCUAAAACUUUUGCAAAAUUUCCUCAACAGUUAAGAAAAAUUAUAGUAACAACAAUCAAUUAAAGAAAUGUGGAAAUCUUCAUUGUUUAGCGCAAUAUGAACAAUGCAGGGCUGUGAACAGCAAGUAUGAAAUCCUUUACAGCAACAGAAAACAAGCAACAAAUUAUUUUCCAGCAAACAUGUAACUUCUGUCAGCAGAUUCUAACCAACUGGACAAUAGUUUAUUUAGCAAGAGCACUCAAUUCAACAAAAAGAACAUUUUAGAAGUAAAAACCAAAUUUCAAACUAUCACUGCCAAAGUUGAGCACAAUCUCAACUAACAUAUAUUCCGGUAGAUUAAGCUUACUGUAUGUUCAACCAAAUCACAAUUCAAGCUACUCAAUCUCUUGUCCAACUGAAUCCCCUCUAUUAAACUCAAUGACAACAACAACUAUUAGAAACCAGGAGAAUUUCAGCUAUCAAUUUACUCCCAAAAACUUCACAAGUAGUGGCAAACUUUAACAAGACAAGCUUCAAAACUCCACAGUCUUAGCACAAAGAUAAUUGGUGUUCAAUGUAGGAUUUUCUUUCAAACAAUUGGCCCACGAACAAUUCAUAGAUUGAAUUAAAAUCACAAAACAAUGCUCCAACAAACAAAGGCUGAUCUUAACAAAACUUUUGUAAACAUAAAAUAACUUUGACAAGAGAAUUACAACUUGAACUCUAAGAAUUUCAACAGUAGGGUCUAUUGACACAACCCAAUUCACACAAUUUCCAAACAAACAACUUCUGAAUUCUAAAACUAACCUAUGUGGCUAAAAGUGGCUAGAAGUGCAAAAUUUGGCUAUGACCCCGCAAAUUCAAGAACCUAAGGUUUACUAGGAAGACGGACCCUAUGUGGGUUGCCUACAUAUCAUGCCCCGAAAGACAAGAAUCAGGUUUACGUAGUUCGGAAAAAUUAGAUACGAGCAAGAAUAACAAAAAAGAACUACUAAUUUAGAGACAACAAUCCCUUUUUUUUUUUGCUUUUUCUUGUAAAAUGUUGAAACAUGCAAAAUCUUUUGAAUUUUAUUUUUACCUUAUUUAUAUAUUUUUAAAAAUGAUAAAAAUGCAAAAUCUUUUUUUUUUUGAAUUUUUCAAGUAGAUCUUUUUUCCUUUUUUUUUUAAAAAAAACAUGUAACAAAACAUAACUAGAUCAUACUUGCUUACUUUCACACUUCACCCUCCCUUUCCUUUUUUCAUUAUUUUUCUUUUUUUCAUUUACCCUCAACUAUCAUUGGUCCGCCCAAUGACCAUUUUACCCUUGGAGAAAUGCAACAUGUAGCACAUUAAGAUUCCUCAGGGUGGUCUGUUAUUUUGGGUAUACCUGUCCUAGACGGACCCAACCCCUGUGUUGAGUCCCGUAAGUCAAAUGCUUGAUGUCGAUAAGUGUUCCUACUAGGGAUGCGACAUGAGAUUUUGUAUUUCUAAGUUUAAGCCUGGGUAUUUGUUCUAGACUGUGUACCCGAGCGCACAACUCGAGUCGAGGAGGGGGAUACGUACUGGGGACCGCAAGAUCAUCCGACCUUGUAACUUGUUCGAGCCUCUUUCUUAUUUCAGGGUAUGAUACUAACAGAAUAGGGAGUCUUAACCAGUAAGCACAUCCCCGGAGGUGAGAAGAGAAGGGUGUCGUAGCAGUUUAUAUGUACAGUUCAGAUAAUAUCAAAGCGGUAAAAGCAUCAUUUUGCACAUNNNNNNNNNNNNNNNNNNNNNNNNNNNNNNNNNNNNNNNNNNNNNNNNNNNNNNNNNNNNNNNNNNNNNNNNNNNNNNNNNNNNNNNNNNNNNNNNNNNNNNNNNNNNNNNNNNNNNNNNUUAAGCCAACAUGUAAAAUCAGAUAAUAAACAAAGCCAAAUACAACAAUUAUUCUAAGCUCGAAUUCUUGAACCCUGAACCAGAGAUUUUGGGUUCCAUCCCAAGCAGAGUCAGCAUAGUUGUCACACCUCCUUUUGUCUACUACAACCCUACGAAGGGCGUAGAUAAGGGAGUUUUUCCAAUUAAAGGACAAUCGAAAUGGUAUCUAAUUAUUUAAGAUAUUUUUAGAGUCGCCACUUGGGAGAUUAUGGUGUCCCAAGUCACCGUUUGGAAUCCCGAACCGAGGAAAGAAUGACUCUGAUUAACAGUCUGCGAACCAGAAAUCCAGGUAAGGAAUUCUGUUAACCCGGGAGAAGGUGUUAGGCAUUACAGGGUUCCGUGGUUCUAGCACGGUUGCUCAACUGUUAUAUUUGGCUUACGUUAUUUGAUUUUAUACAAUUAUGAACCUAUGUGCAUUUUGAACCUUUUAACCACUUUUAUUAUUAUUUUAAAGGAGAAUUGCAACGUCGUUAAAACACGUCUUGUACCAUGUCACAUAAAUGCACCCGCGGUCUUUGACAUAUUUUAACAUUGUUGAGAUUUAAAUUUGGGUCACAUAAAUGCGCACCCGAGUUUAAGUAACUUAUUUAUUAAAAUAACACACCUAAAAUAACUACGCACUUUCAGCUUUGCGAGGGCCAUGGAACGUUCAACUAAUGGCACACCUCGAUUCUAAUUUCAGAGAAUCGUAGAUAUGUCACACGGAAGUGUCCACAAUCACGACUUGUAUUUUGAAUAUGCUUAAAGGCUUGCCUACCCAAGGUAGAUGACCAAAUCAUGCUCCCAACGGUCAAGUUAAUCAAGCAGUUUCCACCUUUAUUUCACAUAUCCCACGACCAUUUAUCAUUGUUUUUCAUGCACUAAUUUCACUAUACAAUCAAGAAUUCAUAGAAAUCAACAUUCUUAGAGACUUUAUACUGUCUUCAAACAAAUAUAACAGACAAAUCAAACAAGCAAUAUUAGUGAACAAAACAAUUAAAGCCUAUCAAACAAAGGCAAGCAUGAAACUCAUGUAAAGAUUUUCAAACAACAUUAUUACAACACCAACAUGGAAAAUUAACCAAAAAUAAUAACCAACUUACCAAGAAUACAAAUUCAUUCAAGCCAAAAACACUAGGUAGUACCACAAGAUUCUUGAACUAAUUAAAGGAGAAGGAUAGAAAUGGACCUUUGUAUUGAAUCGGAGAUGUCAAAACCACGGACAAGAUCCUAUGGGAAUG